CUCCUGAUGGCACAGUUGGUAGCGCGUUGGACUGUAAUUGAAAUUACCAUCUUGGAGAUCCACAGGUCGUGUGUUCGAAUCACACUCAGGAGA
This is a non-coding RNA of Nemania abortiva, 93 nucleotides long. The record is from the annotation of a GenBank genome assembly. Lineage: Eukaryota; Fungi; Ascomycota; Sordariomycetes; Xylariales; Xylariaceae.